This 2518-nucleotide long non-coding RNA is filed under the name Marmota monax (woodchuck). Lineage: Eukaryota; Metazoa; Chordata; Mammalia; Rodentia; Sciuridae. The record is from RNAcentral.
UUGGUGUAGAUAUUAUCCUUGUCUACUUUUUUGAUAUAUAUAUCUCUAAUAAAAAAGAGAAGUCCAUUUAUUUGCCCUAAGUAGGGUAAAGAUAAAUCAGGAUUGCAUAUAGUCAUGGACUACCAUUUCUGGCGUAGGACUGAUAAAAGAGGUCAAGCAUAACACUCCCUGACCCCCAUCCUACUCUGUGGAAACCAUUAACCAAACUGCCUCUGUGGAGGCAAAAUACCUGCUGGCAGAGCCUCAAAUAUGUUUUAUUUACUGAGUGAUCAGCCUUUAAAUUUACAAAUUAGUAGAGUAACAUCUGUUAAUUAGCAUUGCAUUUGGUGAAGAAAAAGUGGUUUCCAUCUCUUGGAAAUUUGCAGUUUUCAUUCUACCAAACUAUGAUAUAACUCAGAGGAAAAGUAUCCUUCAUUUCAGCAGUCCUGCUAUCCAUAUAUGCUUAUCCAUAGUGAAUGACACUAUAAUUUUUUGAUGCAUUAUAAUUAUACAUAAUAGAUUAAUUAUGCUAUAUUUAUACAUACACAUAACAAUUUGAUCAAUCUCCUUCCCAGGCACCUUCCACUUUUCCUUCCCUCCUCCCAACCCCUGGUCAGCUUGCUUUAUUCUAGUGAUCUCCCCUCUAUUAUUAUUAUUAUCGUUAUUUUAAUACUGCAUUAUAGUUAUAUAUAAGUGAGAUUUAUUGUGGUAUAUUCAUACAUGGACAUAGCAUAAUUUAGUAGAUUUCAUUCCUCGGUACUUCCCCAUGCCUUCCCCUCCUUCCUCUCUCAAUCCCAUUCCUUUAAUCAAUUGGUCUCCUUCUAUUUUCAUGAGAUUCCUUUCUCCCUCUCUCCUUCUAUCUGUCCCUCUUCCUCUCUCCCCACUUCCUGUCUCACUUUCACACAAGAGAAAAACAUUCAACCUUUGACUUUCUGAGUCUGGCUUAUUUCACUUAAUAUGAUAUUCUCCCAGUUUCAACAAUUUAUCAUAAAUGACAUAAUUCAUUCUUUAUGACUGAAUAAAAUUCUUUUGUGUAUAUAUACUAUGUUUUCUUGAAACAUUGGUCUAUUGACAAGCACCUAGGUUGGUCCAUAACUUUGCUGUUAUGAAUUGUGAUGCUGUAAACACUGGUGUUGAGAGCCACAGUUUAGUCAGAAUGACGCCUGGCAUUUUGCUAGAGGGAAUGGUUGAAAGGUGACCCUGCUCCGGGAUUAGGGCGGCUCCAGGAUUAGGUCGGAUCCUCGGGCACCCACUACUUUGGAGUUCCCUUUGAGUUCUCAAGGGGUUCUUGUCACGCGGAGCCCGGUGGAGGAAGUAUGUAGAGUGCCGGUGAGAGUUCGGGAAUAAAGAGUUGCUAUUUGAACCUACAAGGCUUUGUGGCAGCUCGGUUAUUUUGUGCCCAGCCAGACUGAGGCAUUUGGUGGCCCGUACGGGGAAUGCCUGAAGCUUGGAGGUAAGUGAAAUUGCUCGCCCCUGAGGAAGAGCGUGAGAAUGGAUGACCAUUUCAAAAAACAAUGUGUUCUUGUUUUGAUUUAUUUUGUUUUUAUUUCAAGUUGCCUGUCCCUAGAACUUUCUCAGGCAAACUGGGGAAAAUGGUUGACUCAAAGUUUGAAGUUGUUCGCCCCUGAGGAAGAGAAAUUGUUAGAGGAAGGAGGCACACCAGUAAGACCAAGAACAAUUAGGGCAUAUGUUGAUACAAUACAAAAAUGUAGCCCAUGGCUUUUUAAAGAGGAGUUAUUAAAUAUAUCACAAUGGAACCAUCAUGGUAUCCUGUAGAAGGAUUUUUCUUCAAUAAGAAAGAGAUGGCUAGUUCUGUUUACUACACUUGUCUAAGAUCUUGGUUUUUACAGACAUCUGAUUAAUUUACAAAGCUAAAGUAUUGAAACAUCAACCACUAAAUAUAAAAUCAAGUACUCUUUACUUAUUAAGUUCCAUAAGGUAAUAUAUUUAAACAUUAUGUGUGUUUUCAUAAAUUGGUAAAUGGAAAAAAGGUUUAAUAUUGCUUUGUGUCUGUGUCUUUGCUUAAACAAGGUUACUAAGAGUUAAGAUUCUAUCAAGUGUAAUUUAUAUACAAAGAGUAUAAGAAGUUUCAGUUGGGUUUCAAUUAUAGUAUAGUACCAUAAAAAAACAUGAAAGUAUUUCAUCUUAUUAAAGUGGAGUAAUUUGUCUAAAUCAGAAAUUUUAUAAGGGUUGUUUCAGAAUGUGAAUUUAUAAAAAGGGUUAACAGCUAGAAAAGAGAUAUAAAAAGAUUCAAGAUGUGGAAAUAUAUUUUAAUAUAAAAGGUUAAAGGAAAAAGAAAUGUUUCUAGAUGAGAUAAUCUUUGUGUGGUAAAGUAAAAAGUUGUAAAAUGUCUAAGUAAGUUACAAAAGGCUUUAAAAGGUUAAAUUAAAGGUGGUUAAGAUGCCUUCAUGGCGGAGGAAAGAUUGUGUCAUUCGAAGCCUAGUUAAUCUUAAAAGCAUUACUUAAAAAAAACAUGAAAAUGAGAAGAUAAUAGGAUAAAAGAUAUUUGGAUAAAGAAGAUUAAAAAUUUGAAGUGAAA